CGCUAUCACUCCUACGGGAGGCAGCAGUGGGGAAUAUUGCACAAUGGGGGAAACCCUGAUGCAGCCAUGCCGCGUGUGUGAAGAAGGCCUUCGGGUUGUAAAGCACUUUCAGUAGGGAGGAAGGUAGUGUAGUUAACACCUGCAUUAUUUGACGUUACCUACAGAAGAAGCACCGGCUAACUCCGUGCCAGCAGCCGCGGUAAUACGGAGGGUGCGAGCGUUAAUCGGAAUUACUGGGCGUAAAGCGCAUGCAGGCGGCCUGUUAAGUCAGAUGUGAAAGCCCGGGGCUUAACCUCGGAAUUGCAUUUGAAACUGGCAGGCUAGAGUCUUGUAGAGGGGGUAGAAUUUCAGGUGUAGCGGUGAAAUGCGUAGAGAUCUGAAGGAAUACCAGUGGCGAAGGCGGCCCCCCUGGACAAAGACUGACGCUCAGAUGCGAAAGCGUGGGGAGCAAACAGGAUUAGAUACCCUGGUAG
This 473-nucleotide ribosomal RNA is filed under the name uncultured bacterium. Its description in RNAcentral is "bacterial SSU rRNA". It matches the Rfam family "Bacterial small subunit ribosomal RNA", at positions 328 to 793 of the family's 1533-position model. The record is from RNAcentral.